This 272-nucleotide ribosomal RNA is filed under the name uncultured bacterium. RNAcentral's name for it is "partial 16S ribosomal RNA". It matches the Rfam family "Bacterial small subunit ribosomal RNA", at positions 57 to 305 of the family's 1533-position model. The record is from RNAcentral.
GCAAGUCGAGCGAGCUGAAUUCAAAGAUUCCUUCGGGAUGAUUUGUUGGAUGCUAGCGGCGGAUGGGUGAGUAACACGUGGGCAAUCUGCCCUAAAGACUGGGAUACCACUUGGAAACAGGUGCUAAUACCGGAUAACAACAUGAAUCGCAUGAUUCAAGUUUGAAAGGCGGCGUAAGCUGUCACUUUAGGAUGAGCCCGCGGCGCAUUAGCUAGUUGGUGGGGUAAAGGCCUACCAAGGCAAUGAUGCGUAGCCGAGUUGAGAGACUGAUC